GAUGAACGCUGGCGGCGUGCCUAAUACAUGCAAGUCGAGCGAAGCGGGGACGGGUGAGUAACACGUGUAUGACCUCCUAUAAGACUGGGAUAACUUCGGGAAACCGGAGCUAAACCGGAUACUUAAAGGUGGAGCCGCUCUGCAUUAGCUGGGUGGGAAGGUAACGGCGUACCAAGGCAACGAUGCAUCGCCGACCUUAGAGGGUGAUCGGCCACACUGGGACUGAGACACGGUCCAGACUCCUACGGGAGGCAGCAGUAGGGAAUCUUCCGCAAUGGGCGAAAGCCUGACGGAGCAAUGCCGCGUGAGUGAUGAAGGUCUUCGGAUUGUAAAACUCUGUUAUUAGGGAAGCGGUACCUACUCAGAAAGCCACGGCUAACUCCGUGCCAGCAGCCGCGGUAAUAC
This 405-nucleotide ribosomal RNA is filed under the name uncultured bacterium. RNAcentral's name for it is "partial 16S ribosomal RNA". It matches the Rfam family "Bacterial small subunit ribosomal RNA", at positions 28 to 526 of the family's 1533-position model. The record is from RNAcentral.